This 1576-nucleotide long non-coding RNA is filed under the name Equus caballus (horse). Its description in RNAcentral is "lncRNA (ENSECAG00000048397.1)". The record is from RNAcentral. Lineage: Eukaryota; Metazoa; Chordata; Mammalia; Perissodactyla; Equidae.
GGAGUGUCUUUCCAAGGCUACUCUAUCUGUAGUCUUGAUCCCUUUACCUGCUUGCCAUAAAUAUAUGUAGAAUAUAUUCCAACUUCCACCAACCUCUAUGAACCAUCUCUACCCUUCCUGUCUCUUCCCUGAACCACCAAAGAAUUCAAACAGCUUCCAUUUGCUCCUUCUCUCGUCUUUUUUUUUACCCAUAGUGUCAGUCCAUAAAGAAUUUUUGGCGGAAGAUAGACAGUGUUAGAAGUGCAGAUUCCCCAGGCUUUCACCCCUUCCUUGUUGAAAUCCAGAGGGUUGGCAUUUGUUAACCACUGCAAGAAGAUUUUGAUGAAGAUGUCUCACUCUGAGAAAUGCUGCUGAUCCAUUGCUGUGCCACUGAAAAUGCUCUCCUGAAGGAUACACAUCCUCCUCAUUGCCCUUACCUACAAUGUGAGCGGAUUCCUGGAAGACUUUUUUUUUUAUCUUUGUGCCUCUCCCAUGUAGUUGCAUAAUGACUUUGUAGAGGUUUAGCUCCAUCUUUCCACUAGCUUGUCUGAGUCACCACUUGAUGAAGGAUUGAAAACAACUCAGCAUGCAGUAGAAUGAAGCUUCCUAUUUCUUCAUUAAAGAUGGCCUCUGUCUCCUUGUCUCUCCCCCUCCUCUAAAAGUUUUUAUUUUAAAAUUUUUGAAUAGUGGCUAAAGGACUUGCUCCUUGAGGAAGUGGCUCCCCAGAAUCACUGGCUGUCACUUCAAAUGGAAGUGUGGAAAGGGGGAGGAUGAAAAGAAUAAAAUCCUUUAGAUCAAGAUUUUUGUGUGACUUCAGCCCUGCUCUUUGAAUGUUCUCUGGCAACCAGAAGCCUCUGCGCAGCCGUCUUCUGUGGCCACACUCCUUUCCCACUGGAGAUGGGGGCAAGUGUCUUACAUCGUCCUGCUGUUGCCAACCCCUCACAUCUAACAAGGAGCAGUUCUCUGCCAAAUACUGUGAUUUUUAUACUAAAUAAAGUACUCACCACAGUGAAUGCUUGUUUUGCCAGAACCUCAUAACCAUUGCUACAAAUCGACCUCAAAUCAGGACUUUUAGGUUCAGCUGAACAGGACAUGGAAUAAUAAUCCUAGCUAUCAUCCAGUCUUCAGGAAACCAUAGUAAAUGUGGUGGGCAUGUCUAAUAUAUAGUGCACAGUGGUUGAGGGUGCCGCCUUCAGAGAUGGAUGACUCUAGGUCUCAGUUCUGAUCCUCCCCAACCCUCAGCUUGGAUUAUAAUAUCCAAGCCUACCUCACUGCUGCUUGUCAGGAUUCAGUGAAGUUGAGAUAAUAGAUGCUAGAAAACAUGGUGCAAGACAUCCUGAGACACUGUGAGGUGGGUUCUGCCAGCAUUUGCCAGUUAAGAGAGUCCAUUAAGAGGUUGGAGAUGUUUGUGAUGAGGAUUUCUUUUGCAAGAGUUGACCCUCAUCCACCUCAAAAUGGAGGAGUGGUGCUUUUUCUUAUCUUUGUUUUUUUAAUUAAGAUAUAUAGACAUAGGUUUAGAUAUAUAAUUCUGAUGUAAUUCACAUAAAAUUCACUCAUUUAAAAUUAGUGACUUCUAGGAUAUCCAUAAAAUUGUGCA